Paraphysoderma sedebokerense is the source of this 82-nucleotide non-coding RNA. Lineage: Eukaryota; Fungi; Blastocladiomycota; Physodermatomycetes; Physodermatales; Physodermataceae. The record is from the annotation of a GenBank genome assembly.
GGGCCCAUGGCGCAACGGUAGCGCGUUCGACUCCAGUUCAUGGAUACAUCGAAGGCUGGGCGUUCAAAUCGCUCUGGGCUCA